This is a long non-coding RNA of Vigna unguiculata (cowpea), 1265 nucleotides long. RefSeq lists it as uncharacterized. The record is from RefSeq and is a predicted model, not a curated record. Lineage: Eukaryota; Viridiplantae; Streptophyta; Magnoliopsida; Fabales; Fabaceae.
UCCUAACUUUUCACUUCAUUCUUUCUCUUUUAGCGUUUUUCUUUCGCUCUAAUUAUUUUCCUCUCGCAUCACACCCUCCAUGACCAUUUCACCAAGGUACCGAAUACACUCACGAAUUUCGCUCUAGAACUCAGGACUCAAACAUUCGCCACACUCCCUCCAAUCUUGCUUUCUGGCACCGCCACACUCUUCCUCCUCGACCAAUACCCCCACGUUAUUCUCCACGACUGGGAGCUAAAUCUUGUCGUCGUCCUGGUGGCACGCGAUUACUUCAAGCUCGGGAAGCUUGAAAGGGAAAGCCAGCAACUCCCUUUACCUGGGACUUGCCUCUACCCGAGUAGUGGAAGAAAAGGCUUAGCGGCCCCUUGAAAUGUUACUCUCAAAAUAGCACAAGUACGAAAUUGUCAAGAAAUUGCAAGAUAGGAAGCAACUGGAGAAGUGCUUAUGAUAUUGUAUUGACAGAACCUGGAUUGAGUGUUAUUAUUAGUGUCGUCUUAACCAGUAGGGCUAUUUUCCAGAGAAUGAAAAACUAUACGCCGAAAAGUGCAAGAAAUAUUUGCUACUAGAGUUGUGCUUGGGAGUUACUUGGCACUGAUGACUAUCAUAUUUUUCUAGGAAAAAUUCGGAGUUAGACACCUGACUCAUGAUGAAAUGAUGACUGUUUUAUAUUUGCAAGUUAGGAGGAGAGGGAAGCUCGGUGGGCUCAUGCUCAGAGGACCCUGCAUGGACUUCAACCACCAAAAUCUUCUAGCAUUUUCAAUGAGAAAAACAGUUACAGAGAACUCUCAAAGAUUGCUGAGCAGGCCAGCAAGCCGGGAAAGGAGCUGAAGUUGCAAGUUUCAAGAUGUCCAAUUUUAUGACCAAGAGUGUUUCAAACAAUUUGUUUUCUAGAGUAAAACAAGAAUGGAUGUAAUUUGUGAAAUGUUUCAUGUAAUGGGAGCACAAAAUGAUAAAAGGUGACAAGCCUCUAUACUUAUUAUAUCUAUAUUUUGCUUUUGUCUAUUGUCAGAAUUGGUUAAGAGGAAGUGGUCACGGAAUUGCAGCUGCAAAGGAUGGAUGCAAAACUAAAUGUAGCAGGUUGGAUGUCAGAAAAGAUGGGAGGUUUAAGGUUGGCGAAUCUAUAUACUCUUGUGACCUAAUGCAAGGGUGCAUUUGUAAAUAAUUCUUUGUUAUUAUAUCCAUUAUUGUCAUAUUAAAUGCUACUAGUAAUAUUCAUUUUAUUUAUUGGAUUUAAAUACUAAUUGAAGUUUAGGAGAAUACAAGAG